AAAUUGCGCGUUGUGAACAGUGUGCAUAGUUAUAUCAGUUUCCGGCUAUUCAUAUCCGGAUUAUACUAUACUACAAUAUAUAUCCGUCUUUAACUAAUAAUGGCCACGAGUUUUACGCAAAUACCUGCUCUUCAGAUCAAUUCCAGUGGGCAAAACCGCUUCAUGAAGAAAUUAAUGGCGAAAAUAUUUAGCUUCUACGACGAACAGUCUCUAAUCGAUGUGACAUUUAGAGUUUCAAACCCAACGGCUCUAAAAAUAUUUUUAAUUUUUGGACUGCACAGUGUACCCGCGCAUCGUUUGAUACUCGCAGCGGCGAGUCCUUACUUCGAGAACCUUUUCAACAGCGAUCAAAGCAAUAAUCCUGUCAUAGAGAUAAAUGAUAUCGAUAGUGAUACUUUUGAGCGUCUAAUAACUUUUUGUUACACCGGGCAGACGCUCGUUACCGUUAACAAUGUCGGUGCCAUGCUGAAGGCAGCAAUAGUUUUGAAAUUGGACGACGCCAUAACUUCUUGCGUGGACUACCUCAUGGCACACAUUAAUGAAUACAGUUUACAGGGUGUUUACACGCUGGAGCGUGAAACGCAGUGUGAACGUCUUAUGCAGAAAAUCAUCGAGCACGAAACACAGAAUUUCGUGAAGAUCAGUCAAAGCGAUGAGUUUCUGAAUUUCGAUGUUGAAAAAAUGCAACGUAUUCUGGAAUUGGACAACUUGAAUAUAUUUCGUGAGGAAAAAGCCUUCGCUGCCCUAAAACGCUGGUUCAAUUAUGAUGUUCCUGAGCGUCAAGAGCAUCUGCCACUUUUAAUAGCUUGUCUCCGGCUUACCCAAUUCGAUGUUAACUUUCUGUUGUCACACAUACAACCGUUACCGGGUUGUGAGAUGCUGGCAUUCAAGGCGAUGUUGUGGAUCAGAGAGCCUGCAGCACGGAAAAAGCUAAAUAUGCGAUUUACAGGACCACGUGGGUUCAGAGCUGCAAAUUGUGAGGAAAAAACAUUGCUAGUGGUUUGUUCAGGGUUGAUUCCCAAGCUGCUACAAUAUAACAAAGCUGAAGAUAAGUGGCAGGUAUAUGCGACUAUAAACAAUGACUACAAUCAGUAUACAACUAUUUUAAAGGACGAUAAUAUAUUUUUUAUUGGCGGUGGAAAACAUUGUAAAGCACUCAACAUCGUGCGCAGCUGGAACAUAAGGAAUAAGGCAUGGCAAAGUUUGCCCGCUAUGAACAAAGCUAGAUGCUCACACUGUGUUGUCGAAUUAGAUGGUAAAAUCUACGCGAUUGGUGGUUCUGAUGGUAAUAAUGCUCUGUCAUCGGUGGAAAGAUAUACGACUGCCGAUGGUUGGCAGUUCACGAACAGCUUGAUUGUUGGACGAUAUGAUGCCAGUGCAGUGACUUUGAAUGGUAAAAUUUAUGUAAUGGGCGGGUUUUGGGGCGGUCAAAACUUGAAAUCCGUUGAAUGCUACAACCCGGAUUCGAAUACUUGGACUCCUUGCGCGGACAUGAUAGAAAGUCACCAUUUCGCUGGUGUAAGUUAGAUUAAAAAAUAAUUAUAAAUAUUAGAAGAACGUUCAUCGAGUCCUGAUUUGGUGGAAUGAAGAAGAGUCGAAGAAGGGAAUAUGACGACUUUCCUUAAGUGUUUAAAAAUUAUCAUUCAACUCCUUGGAUUUCUUUUAAUAUAAACGGAUUUACGUAACUGGAAUUCGUAUCCUGUCUGAAGUUUUUCAAUUUAUAUGUGAAUGAGAUACUGCCGUUACAAUACGCGAAUCCAUUUGAUUUCAACCUUACAAACCUUCUGUAGAGUGUUCAAAAUCAGCAAAAGUAGAUCCGCUCCAAAAAAAUAUCCAAAAUUGUCUAAUUGUAAUUAGUCACUGGCUUAUUUUGUCGCCCUCUAUGAAAAUUUAAUACAACAUUUAUUGCUACUUUUUGUAUUACAGGUAGCCGCACAUAGUGGUCACAUUUAUGUUUUAGGCGAUGGGUUAUGGAACAAUACCAACACUGUUGAACGUUACGAUCCCCAGCAGGACACGUGGUCUAAGAUUUGCUCUUUGGAAGUGGGCUUUGGUUUUGUAGCUUGCGUAUCACUAGACAAUAAACUAUGGGCUAUUGGUGGCAACUCUGGUAGCAAGAAAUGUGUAUCAGUCUAUGACGAGGAAAAUGACCGUUGGGAACUAAAGUGCUCUCUACCCGAAACAAGUAUUCAUCCCUGUUUUGUUGUGCCUGAAGCUUUACUGACGUCGAGUGAAUAACAAUAUUAAUAAAUAUAAUUUUUGUAAUAAAU
RNA transcript from Bactrocera dorsalis (oriental fruit fly), 2270 nucleotides. It is a transcript of the gene named kelch-like protein 20, with no coding region annotated. Lineage: Eukaryota; Metazoa; Arthropoda; Insecta; Diptera; Tephritidae. The transcript is spliced from 7 exons. The record is from RefSeq and is a predicted model, not a curated record.